RNAcentral lists this ribosomal RNA (584 nucleotides) under uncultured bacterium. RNAcentral's name for it is "bacterial SSU rRNA". It matches the Rfam family "Bacterial small subunit ribosomal RNA", at positions 250 to 855 of the family's 1533-position model. The record is from RNAcentral.
UGGUAAGGUAAUGGCUUACCAAGGCAACGAUGGGUAGCCGGCUUGAGAGAGUGAACGGCCACACUGGAACUGAGACACGGUCCAGACUCCUACGGGAGGCAGCAGUGGGGAAUAUUGCACAAUGGAGGGAACUCUGAUGCAGCGACGCCGCGUGAGCGAUGAAGGCUUUCGGGUCGUAAAGCUCUGUCCUAGGGGACGAUAAUGACGGUACCCUAGGAGGAAGCCCCGGCUAACUACGUGCCAGCAGCCGCGGUAAUACGUAGGGGGCGAGCGUUGUCCGGAAUUAUUGGGCGUAAAGGGUACGCAGGCGGCCAUGUAAGUCAGAUGUGAAAGACAUAGGCUUAACCUAUGUAAGCAUUUGAAACUGCUUGGCUUGAGUUAAGGAGAGGAAAGUGGAAUUCCUAGUGUAGCGGUGAAAUGCGUAGAUAUUAGGAAGAAUAUCAGUGGCGAAGGCGACUUUCUGGACUUAUACUGACGCUGAGGUACGAAAGCGUGGGGAGCAAACAGGAUUAGAUACCCUGGUAGUCCACGCCGUAAACGAUGAGUGCUAGGUGUCGGGGGUCAAACCUCGGUGCCGCCGUUAA